UACGUAGGUGGCAAGCGUUGUCCGGAAUUAUUGGGCGUAAAGCGCGAGCAGGCGGCUACAUAAGUCAGAUGUGAAAGCCUCAGGCUCAACCGGGGAGGGCCAUUGGAAACUGGGAGGCUUGAGUAUAGGAGAGAAGAGUGGAAUUCCACGUGUAGCGGUGAAAUGCGUAGAGAUGUGGAGGAACACCAGUGGCGAAGGCGACUCUUUGGCCUAUAACUGACGCUGAGGCGCGAAAGCGUGGGGAGCGAACAGG
Molecule: unclassified non-coding RNA, 253 nt
Filed under: uncultured Caryophanales bacterium
Lineage: Bacteria; Bacillati; Bacillota; Bacilli; Caryophanales
Description: uncultured Bacillales bacterium contains 16S-23S intergenic spacer region
Rfam family: Bacterial small subunit ribosomal RNA
Source: RNAcentral